RNAcentral lists this long non-coding RNA (240 nucleotides) under Monodelphis domestica (gray short-tailed opossum). RNAcentral's name for it is "lncRNA (ENSMODG00000046431.1)". The record is from RNAcentral. Lineage: Eukaryota; Metazoa; Chordata; Mammalia; Didelphimorphia; Didelphidae.
GGAAUGUGAUCGAAAAGUUAGAAAAAUAGCCGUUACCUCUUCCCAGGAGCUCGCAGCCAGCAAAGGUCCUUCCCUUCCGAGGGGAAGAGAAUUUCAACGCGGGAUUCGGCAGCCUCCUUGCGGCCCGGAAGACCGAAUAACUCAGGCAGCCCGAGCUCUAGUCGCCACCACUGCCGCCAUCACAGCAGCAGCAGCAGCAGCAGCAUCCUCAUCCACAUCCGCAUUUUUAGCUGCCACACC